Molecule: ribosomal RNA, 506 nt
Filed under: uncultured bacterium
Lineage: Bacteria
Description: partial 16S ribosomal RNA
Rfam family: Bacterial small subunit ribosomal RNA
Source: RNAcentral
AUUGAACGCUGGCGGCAGGCCUAACACAUGCAAGUCGGACGGUAGCACAGAGGAGCUUGCUCCUCGGGUGACGAGUGGCGGACGGGUGAGUAAUGUCUGGGGAUCUGCCCGAUAGAGGGGGAUAACCACUGGAAACGGUGGCUAAUACCGCAUAACGUCGCAAGACCAAAGAGGGGGACCUUCGGGCCUCUCACUAUCGGAUGAACCCAGAUGGGAUUAGCUAGUAGGCGGGGUAAUGGCCCACCUAGGCGACGACCCAUAGCUGGUCUGAGGGGAUGACCAGCCACACUGGAACUGAGACACGGUCCAGACUCCUACGGGAGGCAGCAGUGGGGAAUAUUGCACAAUGGGCGCAAGCCUGAUGCAGCCAUGCCGCGUGUAUGAAGAAGGCCUUCGGGUUGUAAAGUACUUUCAGCGGGGAGGAAGGCGGUGAGGUUAAUAACCUCACCGAUUGACGUUACCCGCAGAAGGAGCACCGGCUAACUCCGUGCCAGCAGCCGCCGUAA